Molecule: long non-coding RNA, 1284 nt
Organism: Humulus lupulus (European hop)
Lineage: Eukaryota; Viridiplantae; Streptophyta; Magnoliopsida; Rosales; Cannabaceae
Exons: 3
Source: RefSeq, a predicted model, not a curated record
ACAGAGAGAAAAGAAAACCACAAACCAUUUCUUGGCUGGUUUGAAGAAAUUCUAAGGAGAUCCAAGUGAAAGCAAAGCCAAAGAAGUAGAUUAAGCUUAGUUCUAGCCUUUUUAUGGUAAGUUCUUGUACUUGGAAGUUAAACCAUGUUUUUGAAUUUUUCUGAGAGCUUAUAUAUGGUGUUUUAUCCUUUUUAAGAUAUUUCUUGGGGUUUCCAAGUGGUUUGAGGUUUAGAAAAGCUUGAAGAGAUUGUUUUCGCCGAAAAGUUGCUCGGAUAAGCACAUCAAUACCUAAGACACCACUUGUUACACGGUGAAUUAUAUUUUGGACAGAAGGUAGAGAAAAAAAUGUGUGAAUGAUAUGAGGAGAACUGAAGCAUGGUCCUGACCCCGAUUUGUACAUAUGAACAAAUCGACCUUUGUGGGUUAUUUCAGUUUAUCAAUGUGAUAUUUGUAAUAAAGUGUGAAGUUAUGUAUUGAAAACAAAUUGGGUUAUUUAAUACUUAUGUGUUGACGCGGUUCUUCGCCAACAGGUAAUUAAGAGAAGAAGAGAAAGGGAUUAGUGCUGAAUAUAGAACCGUCGCAGAUAUAAAAUCUUAGAGAAUGAACUAGGUGACUCAAGACACGUUUUUAAGUGGUUCGAAGGUUAAAAUCCCUCUACUCCACUAGUCAAUAUUAUUGAUAUAUUCUGGGUAUUUGGUUACAAAGCCUAUAUCUCUUCAGAUACUAUUUUUCCCAACCCCUAUCAACUCCCAGGUUCUCCAUAUUUAUAGGAGAAGGCAUCUGGAAGUUGGUAAGGAGGUCAUCCCGUGACCUUAUUAUUUGUCAUAUCAACUCUGUGACAUUCAUGAUUAAUUCCUAAACCUGACACAUAAGUAUGGUCAAAUCGAUAGAUAAGGAGAUAAUGGGCCGCACGGCCCAACCCAGCCGUGGAUAUCUGAACACGCACAUUCCUGCUGCGUGUCCGAGAAGUCAGGGAGAUAUCGGACACGUGAUGUCAGAUAUAUGCACGUUUAUCUUGCGUGUGUUGACUUUAUAGAGGGUCAGAGCUCCAUACAUAGCUCGUGCCACGAGCUGCUCCCUUGACCCGACCUUUGGCCUUCGGAUUCCUUCACCCAGUCCUGGGAAACCUUGGCGAGUCCUCAGGGAUUGCUCGAGCUAAUAAGAUACGACCUCGAAACGGGAGCUCCGGUCUUGGGGAUGCCAAUGGGCUAAUCGUGAUUAGUCCGUAGCUCGGCCUGCUAAUCAGCCCGUGGGAAAACCAGGGCGUACAUUAUGUAUAAUAUG